Molecule: ribosomal RNA, 497 nt
Filed under: uncultured bacterium
Lineage: Bacteria
Description: partial 16S ribosomal RNA
Rfam family: Bacterial small subunit ribosomal RNA
Source: RNAcentral
GAUGAACGCUGGCGGCGUGCCUAAUACAUGCAAGUCGAGCGAACAGACGAGGAGCUUGCUCCUCUGAUGUUAGCGGCGGACGGGUGAGUAACACGUGGAUAACCUACCUAUAAGACUGGGAUAACUUCGGGAAACCGGAGCUAAUACCGGAUAACAUUUUGAACCGCAUGGUUCAACAGUGAAAGACGGUCUUGCUGUCCCUUAUAGAUGGAUCCGCGCCGCAUUAGCUAGUUGGUAAGGUAACGGCUUACCAAGGCAACGAUGCGUAGCCGACCUGAGAGGGUGAUCGGCCACACUGGAACUGAGACACGGUCCAGACUCCUACGGGAGGCAGCAGUAGGGAAUCUUCCGCAAUGGGCGAAAGCCUGACGGAGCAACGCCGCGUGAGUGAAGAAGGUCUUCGGAUCGUAAAACUCUGUUAUUAGGGAAGAACAAAUGUGUAAGUAACUAUGCACGUCUUGACGGUACCUAAUCAGAAAGCCACGGCUAACUACGUG